AACCAAAGAGGUCAAGUCAUACUGGCCCUGGUCCUCAGGUGUCAGUGAAGCUAUGCCAAUUUAUACUUGCUGGAAAAAUUGGCCCAACGUGUUUUAAGUCUUUUCAUCUAUCAGGAUUAUAGAGUUUUUUUAAAAACUUUUUAAAAAGUGCUAAUAGUAAAUCUUAGAGGUUGCACAUACUUGUGGAGGCUUCUUUAUAGAAAUGCUUUUUAGGUGCAGUCGGUACGCGAGGCACAAGCUGUGAAAGCCGAUUACCCUUUUGAGAUCACAAUGGCAAACGGAAAGAAGAAACUCCUGGUAAGAAUAGAAUGUCGGUGCUAUCAAAUACCUGGGACUUAGGAGGUUCAGUGAGUUUUGUAGUGACAUGGUAGCCAAAGUGUAUUCCCUAACCCACUGUGGAGCCAGGGCUGCCCCAGCUCUCUCCAGUCUCAAGCUAUGUUGCUCUAUUACAACAUUAUCCAAUGACUUGGUCCAGUACACAGAUAUAAGAUUGCUCGACUAUGGCCGAAGACCUUUGUAGUGGGACUCCUUCCAUUGACUUCACUGGGCUUUGAAUCAGGCCCAUAUUUUGCUAUCCAAUUUCUUGGAAUGUUCAGCUUUCAUCCCUAGCCUCAAUGUAAAGAAAAGGAUCACAAGUAAAAAAAAAGAUACAGCCCUGGACUCGGGGAGGUGGAGAGGAAAUGGUUACGACAGGCUUUGUGAAAUUAACAUGCAUCAAUAAAAUGUCUAUCCUUUUCUUCCAGUUAAAUGUCCCUAACGAUUGUACUUCUUUUUCGAUCAGUCUGCAGAAUCUGCUGAUUUACGUACUGCCUGGAUUGAAAUCUUAUGGAAAUCGAUGCAGCUGCCCGGGCCUGGCAGAGAACAGUCAGCCUGCACGUGGCAUGAUGUUCCUAGCUUGAUGGAAAGAGCUCAAGUUGCUAGAGACCAUAAGGAAGAAAAUCAUUACAACACUGUACUUUAUGUCAAGGAGACCAUUAGCUGCACAUACAGGGUCACUGAUCUCUUAAUAUCAGAGGAGACCAAGAAAACCACUGAUUUUCAUACCUCUAGUGAGUUCUUUCAUAUUUAAUUUGAGUUUUGAACUUUGUUUCAAAUAGGAUGGAUGUCCUUAAAAGGCAAAGGGCUUCCAGUGAGGAUUUUCUGCCUUUUGUUAUGUGCAAACACUUCUUUGAGUAACUUACCCCACUGACACUGAGGGAGGUCUCUGAAGGCUUGGGGGAAACGGGGUCCUGCUGUUUCAUUAGCAGUCUGGCUCUAAAACAUCAUUGUCAUUGCAUCAUGUCAAACAAUGACACUUGUGAGACUUAUUCACAAUGAUAUACUUCCAGUUCUCAAGCACCGUGAAUCCAGAGAUCUCAAAGCCUUUGAUUAAUGUUCUGGCUCAUUAUCUUUGUCAAGUAGGUAAAUGUUAUUUUACCCAUUUUGCAGAAGGGAGGCAUAGAGCAGUUGUGAUUUGCCCAAGAUUACAGAGGAUUCGGCAGCAAACUGGGCAUGGAACCCAAGUGUCCUGACUUUGUCAUUGGUUCUAAAUUUUAGACCAUAUAUUGAAACCAUUGGUUCAGAAACGCAAACAAAUCAAUAAUUAGUUCAUUAACAAGAGUCCACCUGAUACUUCUCUUUUGUUUCUCUUCUUUUGAAUCAAGAUUUUAAUGAAGACAGAGAGUCAGCUAUUUAUGAAACUCUAAAAGUGGAGACGAUGGAAGACAAGUCUAGUGAUGAGAUAGGGGAAAUUGGUGGAGAUGCUAAAGAACAGCAUGGAGCAGCUGGUUGCACUACUUCUGUUGCGCAGACAACACACAGUGAUCCAUGUCUUGCUGUCAACAGCGCUGCCCCAGCAGAGGAUGAAUUCAUGCCCUGAGCUCUUCAGAAGGAACCACUGGCUGCUAAGAAAGAAAGUCUGUUAAUUUUAAGGGAGCUGCUCCCAUCCAUCCCUGAAAAUGUUCAGGACAAAAGUCCUCUUUAGGCAAAGCUGGAUAGAUGGGGUUUCCUUUGCUUUUCCUCUCAGGUUUCCAAUCCGGGAUCACUGUUGCUUUUAAAAACUUUUCCCUGUUUGGGUUAAUUUUUUGUUAUUAAUUAAAUAUGCUUUGUACUGAAUUUUUGUUUUUCAAGCAUUAAAAGAUA
This is a non-coding RNA of Chrysemys picta bellii (western painted turtle), 2121 nucleotides long. The record is from RefSeq and is a predicted model, not a curated record. Lineage: Eukaryota; Metazoa; Chordata; Testudines; Emydidae.